AGUGAACGCUGGCGGUAGGCCUAACACAUGCAAGUCGAACGGCAGCACAGGAGAGCUUGCUCUCUGGGUGGCGAGUGGCGGACGGGUGAGGAAUACAUCGGAAUCUACUCUGUCGUGGGGGAUAACGUAGGGAAACUUACGCUAAUACCGCAUACGACCUACGGGUGAAAGCAGGGGGUCUUCGGACCUUGCCCGAUUGAAUGAGCCGAUGUCGGAUUAGCUAGUUGGCGGGGUAAAGGCCCACCAAGGCGACGAUCCGUAGCUGGUCUGAGAGGAUGAUCAGCCACACUGGAACUGAGACACGGUCCAGACUCCUACGGGAGGCAGCAGUGGGGAAUAUUGGACAAUGGGCGCAAGCCUGAUCCAGCCAUACCGCGUGGGUGAAGAAGGCCUUCGGGUUGUAAAGCCCUUUUGUUGGGAAAGAAAUCCAGCUGGCUAAUACCCGGUUGGGAUGACGGUACCCAAAGAAUAAGCACCGGCUAACUUCGUGCCAGCAGCCGCCGCAG
This 506-nucleotide ribosomal RNA is filed under the name uncultured bacterium. RNAcentral describes it as "partial 16S ribosomal RNA". It matches the Rfam family "Bacterial small subunit ribosomal RNA", at positions 29 to 523 of the family's 1533-position model. The record is from RNAcentral.